Molecule: unclassified non-coding RNA, 443 nt
Filed under: Hevea brasiliensis (rubber tree)
Lineage: Eukaryota; Viridiplantae; Streptophyta; Magnoliopsida; Malpighiales; Euphorbiaceae
Source: RNAcentral
GUUUAUAGAACCUGAAAGAAAAAAAAUGGUUGUAUUCUCUCCAGAAUAUGUUUUCAUUGUUGUUUGGACAUCAUGAAGGAAAUUGUUUUGAAGUUGUGAGUGUUCAUGAUUGGAGAAGUGAAAAGUGACUAUAAUUUCAAAAUGUUCAGUUUUUGAGGUCCAUUUUUGUUAUCCUGAAGGACCAGUGGUUCCUGCUAUAGAUUGGAAGCACUUGAUAUUUCAUAUGUCUGGCCUUUGAAAUGAUUGUGAAAAUUGAUUGAUAAGUAAGAUUUAUUAUGUGCUCUUUGGGCAUGUGCAAUAUUUUGAUCAAGGAAGCAGAACAUAUUUUAUGCUGCUUGACUUUCAUACAUGGCCAAUAGCUUCUCUUGUUUAAUAGGCCUUAAUGUUUAGCAUUUUGGAUUCUUCGUUUAUCGGCCUUUUUUAAUCUUUACCAUCACAAACCA